UACGUAGGUGGCGAGCGUUAUCCGGAAUGAUUGGGCGUAAAGGGUGCGUAGGCGGCCUGCUAAGUCUGGAGUGAAAGGUACCGGCUCAACCGGUACAGGCUCUGGAAACUGGCGGGCUGGAGAGCAGGAGAGGGCGGUGGAACUCCAUGUGUAGCGGUAAAAUGCGUAGAUAUAUGGAAGAACACCGGUGGCGAAAGCGGCUCUCUGGCCUGUAACUGACACUGAGGCUCGAAAGCGUGGGGAGCAAACAGG
Molecule: ribosomal RNA, 252 nt
Filed under: uncultured bacterium
Lineage: Bacteria
Description: partial 16S ribosomal RNA
Rfam family: Bacterial small subunit ribosomal RNA
Source: RNAcentral